This 1434-nucleotide long non-coding RNA is filed under the name Fukomys damarensis (Damara mole-rat). RNAcentral's name for it is "lncRNA (ENSFDAG00000023000.1)". Lineage: Eukaryota; Metazoa; Chordata; Mammalia; Rodentia; Bathyergidae. The record is from RNAcentral.
CGCGCUGAUGUACCCCGCCUGGCUCAGCUACAGGGCUCUGCAGGCACAGUGGAGUCCACACAGAAGGCCUGGCCCGGCAUUGCCGUGUCGUGGUUUAAAUCCAGAUGUGUCCCCCACCCCCCGGCCUCAGGUGUUCACUGGCAGGGCUCUGGGAAGAGGAUGGGACCACGGGGUGCCACCGCUGCCUUUCGUCUGGACCUGAAGAGGCAGGUGGGUUGCUGGAGGAGUGACCCAGAACCGUCUGUCUUCUGCUUGGCUCCUCCCUCCCUCCCCUGCUUUCUGGCCGCCGUGAUGUGAGCAGCUGUCCUCUGCCCAGCCCUCUGUUGUGCAGCUCUCAUUUUUUAUGCCUGCCAAACACAGCCUAAAACUUCUAAAGCACGAGCCAAAAUAAACCUCUCCUCCUUUAAACUGUGGGCCUUGGCUAUUUUGCUCAGCAAUGAGGAAGUGAUGAAGACACAAGGCCUCCCACACAAAUUGCGUAGGAUCAAGGGCCCCUCUCAAGCCAAAGAAGGAAGCUGUCACAAAGGAGGAAUGACGUAGAACGUUCCGUCCACCACGUGGUUCACGACAGAGAGAAUGAUGGAAUCAUCUGAUAAAACUAAGCUCCAAGUGGGGAACAACAUCCUGUGCAUUAGAGUCCUUGAACCCACUUCACGUAAACAGUACACAUCUCUUGUAGCUAAAUGCACAAUUCACGCAGCCCUGGGUGGGCAGCACAAGUGGCCUUUCUCUCACUCACAACCAGUGACAAGCAAACUAUUUCUGAAAUACUGAGUCAGAGUGAUCCCUAACUUUGAUGUAAAGGCAGUGAUAAGUAAUUACCACAAGUGCAAUCCAGUAGGGUCAGGGUAGCAAGAAUUCAUAUCCCUCAUGGAAAUAGCUGGGUCUUGGGCAAACACCCCAGGUCAAUGUGCAAGGUAAGUGUGAGGGCAUCGAAAGUGAUGGACAAGGGAGACAAAGAACAGCAAUCAAAGCCUUGGGGACAAUUACAGAAAGGAAGAUUCUGGAGCUAACACUCUGUGCGGCUAACAUUCUCGCCAUACCAUCCCAGGUGAGACCGGAGCCCCGCCACGAGUCCUCAUCAGGAGGAGGACUUGCUGGACACCCCACCGCGGGCAGAACGUCACGAAGACUCCUCCGGCGGCAGUGCCCCCUCCCACUGUGCCUGCUUCCUCACGCCCUUCCGCACCUCGGGCUCACACCUGGUGGAACACACCGUCCCGUGGCGGAGCUACAGCCGCGUCUUCCCUGCACCACGGGCAGAGCACCCUUCUAGGACGCCUCAUCUUUCCUGCCCCCAGGUCUCACCUGCUCAUCUGUCCCCCCAGGCAGUGUGCACGGCCUUGGGGCUCCCUACACUUUGGUGGAAUAAAGUUUUCAAAGGAAACAUAAAGCACGUCGCAGAGGGGAAGGUUCUGUGUACAUGUUCAAGAG